UUAUUUUAUUUUGGUAAAAUUUUUUAUUUUUAUUUUAUUUUACAUGUAAAUUUUUGUGGGAAUUUAAUUAAUAUUUAAUAUGUUAAUUAAUGAAAUUUAUUCUCAGUAAUUAAUAUUAAAAAAAAAAAGAAAUUUUGUUUUAGUAAUAAUAAAUAGUAUUGGUAAAAUUUGUGCCAGCUACCGCGGUUAUACAAAUAAUACAAAUAAAAAUUUUUAGUAUUAGUUAAAUUAAAUAAAUUUAAUAUAAAUAUAAAUUUAUUAGGUGAAAUUUUUAAAUUUAUUUAUUAUUAAUAUAUAAUUAAUUUAAGCUAUUAAAUUUUUAUAAUAAACUAGGAUUAGAUACCCUAUUAUUAAAAAUAAAUACAAUAAAUGCUAAAGUAGUAUUAGCUAUAUUCUUAAAAUUUAAAAAAUUUGGCGGUAUUUUAGUCUAUUCAGAGGAAUCUGUUCUGUAAUUGAUAGUCCACAUUGUACCUUACUUAAAUUUGUUUAAUUUGUAUAUCGCCGUCAUCAGAAUAUAUUAUAAGAUGGAAUUUUCUAAAUAUUAAAAUAAAAUAAAAUGUCAGGUCAAGGUGCAGUUUAUGUUUAAGUAGAAAUGGAUUACAAUAAAUUUAUUUAUAUGGAUAUUUUUUUGAAAAAGAAAAUUAAAAGUGGAUUUGAUCGUAAUAUAAAAUAGAUUAUUUAUGUGAGUUUAGCUCUAAAAUAUGCACAUAUCGCCCAUCGUUCUUAUUUUUAAAAUAAGAUAAGUUGUAACAUAGUAGAUGUACUGGAAAGUGUAUCUAGAAUGA
Molecule: non-coding RNA, 785 nt
Filed under: Tripteroides tasmaniensis
Lineage: Eukaryota; Metazoa; Arthropoda; Insecta; Diptera; Culicidae
Source: RNAcentral